UCAGGAAAGUNUGGAGUAAAAGGCUAUGGCUCAACCAUAGUGAGCUCUGGAAACUGUNUGACUUGAGUGCAGAAGGGGAGAGUGGAAUUCCAUGUGUAGCGGUGAAAUGCGUAGAUAUAUGGAGGANCACCAGUGGCGAAAGCGGCUCUCUGGUCUGUCACUGACGCUGAGGCUCGAAAGCGUGGGUAGCGAACAGGAUUAGAUACCCUGGUAGUNCACGCCGUAAACGAUGAGUGCUAGGUGUUAGGCCCUUUCCGGGGCUUAGUGCCGGAGCUAACGCAAUAAGCACUCCGCCUGGGGAGUACGACCGCAAGGUUGAAACUCAAAGGAAUUGACGGGGGCCCGCACAAGCGGUGGAGCAUGUGGUUUAAUUCGAAGCAACGCGAAGAACCUUACCAGGUCUUGACAUCCCGAUGCUAUUCUUAGAGAUAGGAAGUUACUUCGGUACAUCGGAGACAGGUGGUGCAUGGUUGUCGUCAGCUCGUGUCGUGAGAUGUUGGGUUAAGUCCCGCAACGAGCGCAACCCUUAUUGUUAGUUGCCAUCAUUAAGUUGGGCACUCUAGCGAGACUGCCGGUAAUAAACCGGAGGAAGGUGGGGAUGACGUCAAAUCAUCAUGCCCCUUAUGACCUGGGCUACACACGUGCUACAAUGGUCGGUACAACGAGUUGCGAGCCGGUGACGGCAAGCUAAUCUCUGAAAGCCGAUCUCAGUUCGGAUUGGAGGCUGCAACUCGCCUCCAUGAAGUCGGAAUCGCUAGUAAUCGCGGAUCAGCACGCCGCGGUGAAUACGUUCCCGGGCCUUGUACACACCGCCCGUCACACCACGAGAGUUUGUAACACCCGAAGUCGGUGAGGUAACCUUUUAGGGGCCAGCCGCCUAAGGUGGGAUGGAUGA
This 895-nucleotide ribosomal RNA is filed under the name uncultured bacterium. Its description in RNAcentral is "bacterial SSU rRNA". It matches the Rfam family "Bacterial small subunit ribosomal RNA", at positions 579 to 1474 of the family's 1533-position model. The record is from RNAcentral.